ACAAACUUGGUCAUUUAGAGGAAGUAAAAGUCGUAACAAGGUUUCCGUAGGUGAACCUGCGGAAGGAUCAUUAUUGAAUGUUGGCUUGAUGGGUUGUCGCUGGCUUCUGAUAAGAAAAGGAGCAUGUGCACACCUGUCUUGACUUCCUAUUCAUCCACCUGUGCACCUUUUGUAGUCUUUUUUUUUGAGGGGGCUGGGGAAGCAAGUUAAGCAGCUCAGGCUGGCUGUGUCUUGUGGACCCCCCUCUUAACUGAGGGCUAUGCUUUUUUAUAUAUACCAUUUGAAAUGUGAUAGAAUGUUUGUUGUCAAUGGGCACUUUGUGACCUAUAUAAAAAUCUAUACAACUUUCAGCAACGGAUCUCUUGGCUCUCGCAUCGAUGAAGAACGCAGC
Molecule: unclassified non-coding RNA, 391 nt
Filed under: uncultured fungus
Lineage: Eukaryota; Fungi
Description: partial contains small subunit ribosomal RNA, internal transcribed spacer 1, and 5.8S ribosomal RNA
Rfam family: Eukaryotic small subunit ribosomal RNA (bases 1-73)
Source: RNAcentral